This 429-nucleotide ribosomal RNA is filed under the name uncultured bacterium. Its description in RNAcentral is "bacterial SSU rRNA". It matches the Rfam family "Bacterial small subunit ribosomal RNA", at positions 355 to 776 of the family's 1533-position model. The record is from RNAcentral.
UGGGGAAUAUUGGACAAUGGGGGCAACCCUGAUCCAGCCAUGCCGCGUGUGUGAAGAAGGCUUUCGGGUUGUAAAGCACUUUCAGUAGGGAGGAAAACCUUAUGGUUAAUACCCAUGAGGCUUGACGUUACCUACAGAAGAAGCACCGGCUAACUCCGUGCCAGCAGCCGCGGUAAUACGGAGGGUGCAAGCGUUAAUCGGAAUUACUGGGCGUAAAGCGCGCGUAGGUGGUUUGGUAAGCGAGAUGUGAAAGCCCCGGGCUUAACCUGGGAACGGCAUUUCGAACUGUCAGACUAGAGUGUGGUAGAGGGUAGUGGAAUUUCCUGUGUAGCGGUGAAAUGCGUAGAUAUAGGAAGGAACACCAGUGGCGAAGGCGGCUACCUGGACCAACACUGACACUGAGGUGCGAAAGCGUGGGGAGCAAACAGG